Molecule: ribosomal RNA, 268 nt
Filed under: uncultured bacterium
Lineage: Bacteria
Description: partial 16S ribosomal RNA
Rfam family: Bacterial small subunit ribosomal RNA
Source: RNAcentral
AGAUGGCGACCGGCGCACGGGUGAGUAACACGUAUCCAACCUGCCGAUAACUCGGGGAUAGCCUUUCGAAAGAAAGAUUAAUACCCGAUGGCAUAGUUCUUCCGCAUGGUAGAACUAUUAAAGAAUUUCGGUCAUCGAUGGGGAUGCGUUCCAUUAGGUUGUUGGCGGGGUAACGGCCCACCAAGCCUUCGAUGGAUAGGGGUUCUGAGAGGAAGGUCCCCCACAUUGGAACUGAGACACGGUCCAAACUCCUACGGGAGGCAGCAUG